CACUUCUUCUUCUCAUUCCGAUGAUAUUCGUUUUGCCAUUCGACAAUACGACAAAUGUCAAAGGCACUAGAGUUAUCAUUUUACUUUAUGCCACGAUUAUUGCUAUAUGUCGAUAUUUAAAUUAUUAAUCAUUUUCUAAUCACUUUCUCAUCUCAGUCUCAUUUUUCAUCUCUGUUUGCGCUACUUAACGAACUGCUCGAUCCUAAUUGCAUGUUUUCGAUCGCAGUCGUCGACAUUUGCUUAAGGUUUAACGUAAUUUUCUUAAAACAGAGAUUGUUGCGUUUCACGGAAGAUUAAACGAACUUACUAUAUUCUUUGACAGAAAGGCAACACGGUCCAAGGACUCGUCUUGAGAGAAGCUUUUCACGCUUUUUUAAAACUCUCGUUUGAUCGCGUAGGUGUUACGAGCCAUUUGAAAACUUUGCUACUCGAGACCACAAGAGGUCACGAGAUGCCUCCUAUCACAAAAGACAUUGACGUCACUUGCAAUCUUGAAAGUUUGCACGCCACGUCGUCACACUAUCCGGACAUUCCGAAAGUCACAGAUCGCCUAGAGCAUAGCGAACGCGUCCUGCAUUGCGACACUUUGAACUAGUGUUAUGCCAGUUUCCCUAUGAACAUUCAAGCCGAGAAGAAUUUCACCGAUAAUGCGUUUUAUCGGUUCGACGUCGACGCCAAUACCUUCCGCUGAAUUCUUGAAAUUCGAACGAAACUAGCGCGAAGGAAAUUGAAUUCUCAAGUCUCUGACAAGCUCCCUUCUUUUCCCUUAUACGCGAUACGAUCUUUUAUACCUAUACAGUCGAGAAAAUGGAAUAUCGUUAAAUACGAUAUUGUAGAAAAUUUCGAAACGUUGCAGUCACUGAUUACUCGUUGCACCGCCAGAAUCGACGGCGGAUGGCUCUGACGUCGAGAAAUGAUCUUCUAACCGGCGGUUCUUUUCACUCUCCACGGUGUAAUUUAUCAUAGACCACUUUCCGCAGCUGUAUUGUUCGAAAGUAAUGAAUCGGGACGAAAAUUUCGGACGUCCGCGGCAUAAAUCAUCAGCCGCUUUUAUGAAUAUACGAUGCGAGAUUUUGUAAAUUUCUUUGUAAAUUGAAUCUACGGUCACGUAAAAUAAUAAGGAUACACAAAAUGAUGGAUCGAAUCGGUCGAUUGGCAAAUUGAUCGAGUUUCAUCGGUCGGCUGGCAAAAUUAGUAAAAACGUGUGUUAAUGUAGGAAUAUUGAUCGCGCGCGAAAUCGAUGUCGUUGUCGCGUGCAAGUAUCUACAUUGCACACAAACAAACGUCGAUGAGAAAAGUAUCGAUCCUUUUGGCUAACCUUAACCUUUCGACGUUUCUCCGCGAAAAGAAAUUUCCCACAAGAAUAUUUUUAAAAAGAUCAAAUUGGUUUGCCCAUUAGAGUUGGGCAUUAAUCGAUUAAAUUUUUAGUUUGAUCGAUUGAUUAAUGCUUAGGACUUAAUCGUUAGAAAGUCGGCUAAUCGUCGUUUAAUCGAUUAAUAAUGUUAAUCGUCAAUUAUUAAUUAGUUUGGUUAUAAUUUCAUUUAAAGUAAAAUAUUUUGAAAUCGUAAUAAAGUGUCAACGCUUAAGUUAUUAGUUUAACGCGAUAAAACAUAUUAAUAAUAAAAUAAUAGAUAUAUUUCUGGUUUAUACUGUCGAGAGUAUGUUUUAUUUUCAACUUCAAAAUUUACUAAAUAAACAAGCAACAAUGAAAAACUUUAUUUCGCAUUAUGCAUUAAUAUUAUUUUAUUGUUCAUAUUGCAUUUAUAGAUGCUUCAUCAUAUCUCUACACAAGAAGAUAUAGAAAAUGCUAAUUUCAUUAUAAAAAGAAUUUCAGCAGUUAAUCGUUAACGAAGCAUUCAACUGGCGAUUAAAAUUGAAAGGAACUUAAUCGUUAAUAACAGUUAAUGAUUAAAAUAAGAAUUUAAUCGUUAUUUAUGAUUAUCAACAAAAACUCGAAUACAAUCGUUAAUUGAGAUUAAAGAUUAUUAGAAAAAUGUAAUCGUUAAUCGUUGAUUGAUUUUUUACCCAACUCUACUGUAAUGUAGAAAAAAAAACAAAAAAAAACGAGAAAUCAAGAUCACGUAACUACGUCUCAUGUUUUAAAUACCUAUCUAGAUUUUUACCGCAUAAUCGCGCGCGUAAAAAAAAAAAAGAGUAUUAGUAAUACGAAUUAACAUAACAGUAUUUCUACAUUUUUAAAUUAUUGUAAUAUAAAAUAUAAUUCAAAUGAAUCUUUUUAAUUUAAUCUUACGUAUAUAGUUGAUACAUAUUGAUGAAAAGAAUAGUUAAUAUUUAUGAUAAUUAUAAUAGGGAGCGGAAGACUCUGCGGAAUGACCUUGUUGAAAUUUUAGUCCGAUUAUAAUCUUUCUAAUUACAUUGAAAAGGUUUAUACAGAUUUUAUAAAACAUCAGUUAUUUAUUAAAAAUGAAAACAAGAUUUAUUAAACUUUUAAUGCAAUUGCACUAAGUGUCCGAUUAUUUAUGCACGAGGCUGUAAGGUUACAUAAAAUUGAAACGAUCAGAAACCAUUCCGCUAAACUUGAUUGCGCACUACAGAGAAUUGUAAAUGAAAUGUAAAUUAGGAAUGGGAAUAUGAUGAAAUGUACAAGCAAACAUAUCGCUCGAUAAAAACUCGCAUAAAUGAAUCACAAGGAUUUAUAUUGCAUGCAUGCUCACCUCUUUUUGUUUAAGUAAGUGAAAUAUUGCUUUUAAUUAAAAAUUUAUAUUUUUAAUAGCAUGCACUAUAUAUUUUUCGGAGCACUGAAUUUCAUGAAACAUACCUCGUGGAGAAAGUUCCUGCGAGGAGAAUUAUUUCUUGCUUUGAUGAAUCAUGUAAAUGUAAACCAACCGUACAAUAAAUUAGCGCUACUUUAGCAGUGUUAUUUUUUGUCUCCCAUGUAACAAGCAAAUUUGGGACAUUAAUUUAUGUUUUACCGUGACACAAAGAAUUAAUCAGCACGCGAAUAAACCGACGAAUUGUGUUUCUUUGUUAUUUCGUCGAUUUUAUCUUUUAAAUUAAUUCUUUAGUCAUUACUUAUGCCAUUCACGUCAUUACUUAUGCUGAAAAAAGAAGUGUUUAUGUAGAUGCACGGUUGCCUCUAGGGAAACAAUCGCUCAUUGGUAUAUACAUAUACAUAUAUACUCUCGCGGGAGAAUAUUCACGAUUCCGCAUCCUUUCAUCUGAGUUCUCUUACAAGGCUAAGGUUCUCGGAAAACGUUCCUUUCAACGAAACUUAUUGCUCAGACCUUACGUUUAAGAAAAAAAAGCAAAAGCACGUAAAGAGAGCUCGUAAUUACAAACAGAAUCGCGCUACUGUUCAACUAACGGGGGCGCAGUGUAAGGAUUUCAUUAACGUGGUAGGAUACCAAGGUAUAAACGAUAUUAGAUAAAACUGGUAUCAUCAAUAUCUGUUCGAUGCCCGUGGUAUCGCUUUCGAAAUAUUCUGAAAUAAGAGAAGAAGGAGGAGGACGAGGCGAAAUUCACAAGUUAACAAAUUAAACAGAUUGAAACGAAAUCUCCUCCUUGCUCCUCAGCGACUCCAGAGAACCGUGUACAUAUAUAUCGCGUCCGCGGUUAACGUUAGACACAAAAGCGUGCAAUAGCAAACGUUGGAAUCGAUCUGUCCUACCUUUAUAAUACUGACAACCCUCUCGUGCAUAAUCAUGAGAAUGUAUGACAUACGUAUGCCCUGGUUUUCCCUGCCCACCACCGCCGCCUCCUACCGCUGCUCCAACCCCACUGCCACCCUCUCUUACUACCGAAAGGAUCGUUAGCACGAAGUAAUGCCAGUGAAGGAUAUCCGUUCGAAAAGGUCAAGAGUCCACGCGAGCUUGCCGUGUGCUACGCGGUUGAUUCUUUUAUUGCACCGUACUACAUUUUCUUUUUUCUUCUUCUUCUUCUUCUUCUUCUUCUUCUUCUUCUUUUCCUUUCCCACGUGUAUUUCUCGCCUCGGCCACAGCCUCCGGGAAGAAAGAGGAAGACGAAGAGAUACGUGAGAAACGUACCACAUCCUUCUUGCACCUUUAAAACGUUGCUGCUCGAGGGCUUUGAUGGCCUCGCUUAAUGGAACACUUAUCCCUCGAAGUUCUAUAAUGUUCUGCGGAUGAAACAGUCUGUAAACGUUUUUUCUUUUCUUUUCUUUUCUUUUCUUUUCUUUUUUCUCCUCUUUUUUGUUUGAAAGGAAAGGAGAGGAGAAGGAAGAGAGUUUAAAUCUUGGUAAUUGUCAUAAACUCGAUUGAACCGGUUGACGCGCUUUUGUUGCCCACUCUCCGAUAGCCAAUGUAAUCUCGAAGCUUCGUGUUAUUGCAUCGGCUAUUGCAUCAUUUUACGCGGAAAAAAAAAGCCGAUGUAUUUCGGGCGCGCAUCGCGAUUGAAUUUCGAUUCAACGAAAAUGGAAGAAAGCGAGAGACACACGUGCAUAAAAAAUCGAUAAUCGUCUCGUUUCGACUCGGAGUAUUUCUCGAGGAACGAUCACUUGAACCCGGCGUUUCGUCCUUUUUACGAUCAUUUAUCGAUAGCAAUUGGCGCGGUGCAUGUUGGUUGCCGAUAAAUUGUGCAAGGGAAACGAGAUGAACGCGGGGAACACGGGUACGAUAACCCCAGUUUGACCUCGGGUGGACUCUUGACCUGCUUUCGGAAUCGUUUAAUUCAUAGUAACGUUUCGUUGUCGUUGAUUAAAUCGCAGCUGCUGCUACUGCCCUAUCGAUCCAGCGUUGUUUAAUUGGCAUCGUUAAUCGACCGGCUUGAAAGCACACAGAGAUAGCGAGGAAUCCGCCGAAACUGCUAUCAAUCUCUUUAUUUGAAUCGAGUUCCACGGAUCUGGGUCAACGCCGGCAAAUGCAUACACUCCGCAUCGAAAUAUCUCGCGGAGUUUGGCCCUUUCCCCCGCCCUCCCCUCUUCGCUGUUUCGAUUGCUCCGCACACGACCGGACGAGCUUAAUCCUUGAACUUGGUGACACGAAAUCUUUUCAAAGUCGAUCCACGCGAAAGCAGCGCUAAGUCGAAUUCUCCGUAUCUCCCUUUGAAUAUUCAUGACCACGCUCGGAAACGGAGCUUUUCCUUAUCAUUUCAUUUUACGUUAGCAAGCAGAUAUCCCAACGGUCUAUCAUUUUUCUUCUCUAUACCCUCCACUCUUUCUUUCUAUGUGCGAACAGUUUCGUAAAAACUUCCCGUACUUUACUUCCCGUAAAAAAACUACCUGUACCUUUCGCCCGACUGGCAAUUGAAAUUAAUUGCGUAUUAUUAGCAAAGCACGAUGCAAACCGGUGGUUUUACCUGUGCAGGAAUGAUUAAUGCUUUUCCAACGUUCACCUCUUGGUACAAGCCCUCCAUUAUUCCUGCCGUUCUACGCGUAAUUGUUUUAGUUGUGAAAAAUCACUACGUGUUUGUACAUCGGGUGGAAUGUUAAUCCUUGACAAACCUGUCACGUUCUGCGCAAUUGGCAAUAGCUGUCCGUCUUUCAAUUAUCGCAAUCACAUUGUACACUUCGCCGCUGACAUGGC
Long non-coding RNA from Frieseomelitta varia, 5501 nucleotides. RefSeq lists it as uncharacterized. The transcript is spliced from 2 exons. NCBI's taxonomy places the organism in Eukaryota, Metazoa, Arthropoda, Insecta, Hymenoptera, Apidae. The record is from RefSeq and is a predicted model, not a curated record.